UACGGAGGAUGCAAGCGUUAUCCGGAAUUAUUGGGCGUAAAGAGCUUGUAGGCGGUUUGUCGCGUCUGCUGUGAAAUUUCGGGGCUCAACCCCGAACUUGCAGUGGGUACGGGCAGACUAGAGUGUGGUAGGGCAGACUGGAAUUCCUGGUGUAGCGGUGAAAUGCGCAGAUAUCAGGAGGAACACCGGUGGCGAAGGCGGAUCUCUGGGCCGUAACUGACGCUGAGGAGCGAAAGCGUGGGGAGCGAACAGG
This 253-nucleotide ribosomal RNA is filed under the name uncultured bacterium. RNAcentral describes it as "partial 16S ribosomal RNA". It matches the Rfam family "Bacterial small subunit ribosomal RNA", at positions 524 to 776 of the family's 1533-position model. The record is from RNAcentral.